UGCUUGCUGUGAUGAAAUAAUAACACUGGAACCCUACCUCCGUAAAACCUCUUCCAUCCAUCCAUCCAUCCAUCCAUUUCCUUGUUCUUCGCCGAAGCAGGGUUUAAUUACAGGUUUCCUUAAACCCCCAAACCCAACGCCCAUUCACAGACUUCGCACAUCGAAUUACCGUUCCAUCACAGCACAAAUUCUGAUGAUUUUGCAUCAGCGUUGCGUCUCAAUGCUCCUCCUGUGCAGACAAUCGUCUCCCCCAAGACUUUUCUCACCUCUAAUAAGCCAUUUUUCAUCAUCUCUUUCUUCUUCUUCUUCUUCGCAAUUGCGUUGGCUUAGACCACCAUGCCGGAGUAGAACUAGGUCAUUUGCGACCUCCGCCGCAGCUGCAGCUGCGGAGGUCGGAGAUAAAAGAGGAACGGACACGUUCUUCGCCGAAGAAAGCAUUUCUUGGACAUCACUCGGAGUGUCUGAUCGGCUCUCUCGAGCUCUCAAUAACGUCGGCCUCAAUAGACCCUCUCUCGUUCAGGCAUCUUGUAUACCAUGUAUUCUUUCUGGAAAUGAUGUAGUGGUCGCAGCAGAGACUGGUAGUGGUAAAACACAUGGUUACCUUGUUCCACUGAUGGAGAAGUUGUGUACCAUACCUGAUAACUCCAUGAAUUCAGCUGUGGAUGGUGAAAUGAAGCUUCCUCAUCAGCUAUCUCUUGUUCUUUGCCCCAAUGUCAUGCUGUGUGAGCAAGUGGUUCGUAUGGCCAACGGUCUUUGUGAUGAUGCUGGUGAACCACUUCUUAGGGUUGCUGCUGUUUGUGGGCGGCAGGGAUGGCCAGUUGACGCACCAGAUAUAAUUGUAUCAACCCCUGUUGCUCUUCUAAAUUACCUGCGUGCAAUCGACUCAGAGAAGCGUCGUCAUGCUGAUAUCUUACGUGGUGUCAAAUAUGUGGUGUUUGAUGAAGCUGAUAUGUUGCUCUGUGGGAGCUUUCAGAACCAAGUUAUCCGUCUAAUAAACCUGUUUCGUUUUGACGAAAAGCUGUUGUCUCGCGCUACAAAAUCAGUAGUUGAGAAGCCAGAGGACUCCUGUUCUGAUUCUCUUAUUGCUAGUGAAUUUCAAGAUGAUAAGGACCUUCAGACUGAUCUCAACCUACCAGAGGAGGAAGGUGCUGAGGAUGAUACUGUUCUUGAAGAGUUAACAGAAGGGGUAGAUGCUGAGGGCACUAAGAGAAAAGAUUGGAGAAGGGUGAGAAAAUUUUAUGAGCGGAGUAAGCAGUAUAUUUUUGUGGCAGCCACGCUUCCUGUAAAUGGGAAGAAAACUGCUGGGGGAGUGUUGAAACGGAUGUUUCCCGAAGCCAGUUGGGUUAGUGGACAUUAUCUCCAUCAUCACAAUCCUAGGUUGGAGCAAAAGUGGAUUGAGGUUACGGUUGAUACACAGGUGGAUGUUCUCAUAGAUUCUGUAAAACAAGGAUUCAGAUCCAAAGAGUUAGAUUCUGCUGCUGGAUUAAGUCGAACAAUGGUAUUUGCAAACACUGUUGAGGCUGUUGAAGCAGUGUCUAAGAUCUUAGCGACAUCUGGGAUUGAAUGCUUCCGUUACCACAGUGAUACCUCUUUGGAAGAGCGUACACAGAACUUGGUUGAUUUCCAACAAAAAGGUGGUAUUCUUGUGUGCACUGAUGCUGCUGCACGUGGACUUGACGUAACAAAUGUUUCACAUGUCAUUCAGGCAGAAUUUGCCACUUCUGCUGUAGAUUUCUUGCAUAGGGUUGGGCGGACUGCUAGAGCAGGUCUGCCUGGACUUGUUACAAGCCUGUAUAGUGAUUCCAACCGAGAUCUUGUUGAUGCUGUUCGUCAAGCAGGGACACUAGACCUGCCCGUGGAGAAGGCAUUUAGCAGGAAGAGAAGCUUCCGGAAAAGAAUUAAGAAGAGAGGUCGCAGCGAAGUUGGCGACACAUUAUCCGUUGGGGAUAGAGUUCUAGCAUAAGCUUGACGAGGUCUGAGCAGCUUGAUAAGUAAUGGGGCAUUCAAACACUCAACUGGUUUUCCACCACCUGUUACAAUCCUUCAUGCAAUUAUGCGUAAUUGCUGUUCUUUGCUACCCAAAACCAGCCACCGCGAACCAUGACCUAAACACAAGCACGCCUAGCUCCCUUGAGCUUCCCAAACAUGUCUCUUACGUGCGAGAAACGUGCUAACAUGUGACGGCAAACUAAGCUAAGUCCACUGGAUGAGUAGUGGCAUGUGGUAUACCUCAAGUCUCACGAUGAUGUGCAAGAGAUGAAGCCGUCACCAAGUUUACUUAGUCGCUGACAACGUGUGAAGAACACAAAUGGAAGAGCUAAAUCAUGAGAGGUAAUGAGUUACUAUCAAAUUCCAGUGCUCACACUCAUCAACCCAGGCCCAUUUCCUUGUGUUCAGGGCCUAAGCUUAGAAAUACUAUUACAGAUUACAAAACUCUAAAUCUCAACCAUGUUAAUCAACGAGGUUUACAUCUCAGUCGACAGCGACACUUCAUUGUUGACAAGUCUUCUAAAUUGGUUAACCAGCCUGUCAUUUUGUUCCAAGGAAACAUGCGUUAUGCGUUCCUUCCAUUAGCUAUAUCGAAUUUUAUCAAUGCCAUGGAUAUGGAAGACAUUCUUGAUGUUGUAUAUUAAUUCCGUUGGUUAAGGCUCGAUUUGAAUCGUACUUUUGCAAAAGAGAUGUUCAAAGGUAAUGGAUUCUACUU
Molecule: RNA transcript, 2704 nt
Organism: Rhododendron vialii
Lineage: Eukaryota; Viridiplantae; Streptophyta; Magnoliopsida; Ericales; Ericaceae
Gene name: DEAD-box ATP-dependent RNA helicase 22
Exons: 9
Source: RefSeq, a predicted model, not a curated record